AUGUGCAGCAUCAUGUUUGCAUUCGCUCCUUUACGGCUCCUCCAAAUCUUAUCCUGGAACCUCAGGAUGCAAUUGUGUCUUGUUGUCUAUCUCCACAGAGCUUUGCUGGAUGGUGAAAGCCUGAGGGGAGAUGUGUCUGUGUUAAAUCAGCCAAGAAACAUUUCCAUCACAGAUGCAGUUUUCAAUUCUCAAGGCGUUAAAAAGAAUUACCAGACUCAGCUGUCUGCCAGCCACAAAACCACUUCUCUCUCAUCUAUUCGCAGAAUAGCAGAACCAACGGUAAUGUCUGCCACUGUAGUUUUAAGUAGAAAAUCUGUAGCCUCAAAUGGAAAACCAAAGAUUUCAGAGAAACUUGCUGAUACUGGUGCAAGAAAGGCAGAAAUUUGGGAAACCCCUUAUCCAAAAAUAAUGCAGGAUGGAGCUGUUGAAAAUUUCAGACCACAGGAAGUUUGUGAAAAAGUCACGUAUGCUGAGCCUUUGUCGCCUCCUAAUGAGCUAGAAACUAAUCCUAAAGCACCAUCAGGGGAAGAGGAAGUGGACUGGAACGAUGUUGAUGUUGAAUGCGCUGAUGAAAGGCCAGUUGUUGAGUCAGUUGUCAGUUGUCAGGUUGAAUCUUCCCUCAGCGCUGAGCAAUCCUUCAAUGAUGAAGUUGGCCAUCACCCGUUUACAGCACCCAGCUAUACACCAUAUCAUGCAAAUGUGAAAGAAGAGCCCAGCAGUUUCCCAGAUGAGUCUGAUGAGGAUGUAGCUUUGUUAGGGGAAGCUGAAGAGCAAUAUAUGCAACAGGAUCCACUUGAUACAUGUGUAAAGGAAGCAUGUACAGACAAAGAUACAGGGCAUAUUCAAGAGGAGAGUUCAGAUUCUGAAACAGAGGCAGUGCUUGAACCGACACCUGAAUCCAGGCCUAGCAGCCCAGAAUCACAAUGCGAGCCUCCAGAAAGUGUUUUUAACCAAGCUGUUGAUAAAAAUGUAGAUCUAAAUGUGACAAAUGAAGUUGAUCCAGCUGAAAUAAAACAAGAAAUAACUUGUUCUAUGAUAGAGACAAGCCAAAUGGAUGUCGAAGAUAAAUUAUACCCUGACGGAGAAGAGAUGGAUACAUGGGACAGUGUAAUAGAAAGGAAGACUGAUGUAAAGAAAGAUGAUUGCAUUACAAAUGAUGAAGUAAAAGGACAACAUGCUGAACCAGAGGAAGACAUAUCAGCAAGAGAACAAGUGAAUGAGCAGAACGGAAGCAUUAUGCAGGAUUUUGCUACAGUUGUACAGCAAGACAACACUAUGACUUCUUCCCUGAUAGACAAGCUAGCAGAUGACCAAGAGCACGCUGCAUUAGAGCAAGAGCUUGCUCCACCUCCUGAUAACGAAGGAGAUGAUGAUGAAGAAGACUCUCAAAAUGUUUCCAUGUCGUGGAAGACUGAGCUGGAGGGUGACAGUUAUGCUCAGGACAACACUCUGGCUGAUACUCGUCCUCUGAUCCGAUACAAAAGCGAUGAGACUGAUGCCAACACUCAGGCGUCACACAUGGAUGAGAGUGAGUCCAGUGAAGGUGAGCAGGAAAAGAAGAUCGGAGAGACAGGAACUGGAACGUGGAGUGAAAGCAAGGCAAAGAAAUUUGGAACCAUGGAAGAUCUGUGUGAAGAAGUUGAAGGAGAAACAAUGGAUGAUGAAUAUAAUCUGAGUUACACUCAUAUCAAAGAUGGGGAUGAUGAUGACGGUACAACUGUAACUGAGCGCGUUAUCCCGGUGAAUGAUAAAGAACGUGCAGAAGAAGUGAUCAGAGAUGCCAGUGAGGGACAUUCAGAUGAAGAAACUGAAGAACUAACAGAACACAUGGUACCUGCAAACGUGGCCUAUGAUGAAGAGUUGGAAACGGACAAACUUGUGGAGCAGGAAUUAGAGAAUCUGUGCACAGACAGCUAUAGCACUCACUUUGCACAGCAGCAAGACAGCGACCAACUGCUACACACGAAUGACGAGUUUGUCCAUGAGAUAACAGAGGAAGAAGAGGACAUGUCGUCCGGUGAGACUGAAAUAAGGGUGAACCACGAACUUGUAUCUUCCACUACAAUUAUAGAUCAAACUUCUGAAAACCCAAGUUUCAGGGAUUUGGCAGAUAUGACGCAUCACACAGACACUGUGGAUAUAGAGGACAUCCACUAUGAAGAUCAAGAAUCGAAAGAUACCCCAGAGGAAAGGGAAGAAGAGUGUGGGCCCAAUGUGUCCAUGGUGACGCAAGCUGAUGUAGCAGAAGAACAAACAGGAUUUAGCGAAUUUAUGAGCAGACCUGAGAUGGAAGAAAUCAGCAACUCAGAGGAUCCAAAUUCUGUGUUACCCGUGACAACAGAUGAGGAAAAUGUGCAGGAUAUGGCAGCUCAGGAUGAGGUAAAAGAGGUUUUCCCUCUUGAAGUUAUCGGUCAGUCUGAAGAACAAGUUGAGAGUGAUAAAGAUUGCCAGGAGCUUCCUGAAGCUGAAUGGGAAGUUCUAGGAGACCCAAAAGAGGAUUUUGAAGCCAGGGAUGAGAUUGAACAUGAUGAUUGUCAAAAAGUGCCAGAAACCACAAAUGAGGGUGAUGUUACACACCAGGAGGAGCCCCUUGAGAUUCCCCAUGAAAGUACAGCUGAUGAAAAUGGUAUUUUUAAGGCAAAUGAUCCAGCAAACAAUGGGCUCAAUGGUUUCUUUUCCUCUGGCAUAAAGAGUGACUUCUGGGUGUCCUCUUUAGAGAGCGGUGCCACCUGUGAACCAGAUGAUGCCUGCAAUGAAGCAGCUGAGCAAACUAAUGAGAAUGUGGGAUUUGCUGACAACCUAGUCUGGGAGAUUACAGGAAACCAGAAUGUGUUUAACGGCAAGUCAAGGGUGGAUAUUGAGUCAGCGCUCACUACUAAGAGCGAGCAGGAACAAAUGCAUAAAGAAGUAAAGCAAGUGUUGGGUAGAAAUGUUAGCGAGGGGGAGUUGGUUCAUUCUGAGGAGUCUGAAGCUGAAGCUGAAUUGUGGUCAUCUGGGGAGGAACCAGCAUAAAAAUGUGUGAAGUUUUAGAUGUAGUGUUAGUCAAAAGUGUGUUUUCUUUAAAACCAAAGUUGUGCCUUGGUGCGCUCCUUAGUGACACUAACCACCAAUGUGCCAAUUCUGUCUACAAACAUACUGAGCACUUGCUGUGUUUCACGUUUUCCUCAUUCCUAAUUGCUUAAAGGUUUCAGUCAAUUAGUGUGCAUGCUGUGGAAAAAGAUUGAGGGCUUCUGUAUGAGGGAACGGCAUGAUGACAGAACAAAGAAUGUCAUUUGAAAGUCAAAGCGUUUAUUGAUUGUUUGCUAAUCUGAUUGUACUGACUAGUGGGAAUCAAUAAUAGCAGAAGGGUAGAAUUACUUGUAGAGCUACUAUUCAAAAAAACAACAGACAGCUAGUGUUUCUGUUAGUGAGUUAUUUCAUUUAACUAGACCAGAGUUGACUUGUUGCAUGUUUUACACAUGUAAAAUGAAUAACUGGUGGUAAAAUGGCAUAAAUCAGUUUAGAUAAGCAGAUAGUUGUGUUUGUAUUUUGGCUGAUCUCAAAGAAUAAAGGUUUUUCCAUUCAUGAAAAUAUAUAAUACACUGCGGUACAGUUACAGUUCAAAAUAAACAGUAGCUUCUAGACAUUCUGUCUUUUUGUCUUUUUGAACUUAUUUGCUUGCACAGUGCCCCUCAUCCAUGCAUUUAAUUCCACAUCACAAUGACAUUUUCAUUGGUGUAAAUAUACUCCUACUUAUCACUAGUAUAGGUUAAAGCUAAACUGAAAUAUUUUAAUGGUCAAGUUUGUUUUUGGUAAACAUUAUUAACAUCAUAUUAGCCUUUUCCACACAACUCAGUUAGCGCCUGAAUUUAUUAACCCUUUACACAUUUUUACAGAACCUUGAAAGCCAAAUUAUUGCUUUAGAACGAUAACAUUUCUUUUUACAUGCCUGUCUUUUUUACUCAUUAUAGAACGACAGGAACAGUGUUCAGCUCUCUUUUGGUUGUCACACAUUUAGUUGAAUAUGUAUAAAAUCUUCCUGCAGGCUAGAAUCCAACAUGAGAAAUUAAGCUUUUAAUAACAAAUAAAUGACCAGUAGAUUUUAUUUGGGUUUAAAUCAGAUCAAACGAAAACCUGUUUGAUGUUAAUGAGACAAGCCUCUCAAAAGUGCUGAACUUUUCCUUUAGAGUACAGCUGUAUUCUUAAGAGAAGGUCAAGAAAAGCAGCUGCUUGCCGCCUUCCAGCAACAUCCAUCUCCAUUUCCUUUGGGGUUUGCAUAGAAGAAGGGAGUAAAGCUCGUAUGUGCCUGGACUUGGCAAC
RNAcentral lists this long non-coding RNA (4299 nucleotides) under Oreochromis niloticus (Nile tilapia). RNAcentral describes it as "lncRNA (ENSONIG00000024231.2)". Lineage: Eukaryota; Metazoa; Chordata; Actinopteri; Cichliformes; Cichlidae. The record is from RNAcentral.